AUGGCGCCUAUGAAGGUGUACGGCUGGGCGGUGUCGCCAUGGAUGGCGCGGGUCCUCGUCUGCCUGGAGGAGGCCGGCGCCGAGUACGAGCUCGUGUCCAUGAGCCGGAACGGCGGCGACCACCGGCGGCCGGAGCACCUCGCCAGAAACUCCCUCAGUGAGAUCCCGGUGCUGGAGGACGGUGAUCUCACGCUUUACCGCGGCCGAUAUGUUUUUCAGUUUAAGCUCAGCAAAUGGAGUAGUGAUAUGCCCGAGCUUCUAGGAGCGGGCAGCCUCGAGGAGUCGGCGAUGGUGGAUGUCUGGGCUGAUGCGGAUGCCCACCAGCUCGAGCCCAUACUCAAGCCCAUCGUGUUCAACUGCAUCAUCCACCCUUUCAUCGGGAUGGACAUCGACCAGGGCCUCAUCGAUGAGAGCGUUGAGAAGCUGAAGAAGCUGCUAGAGGUGUAUGAGGCGAGGCUGUCAAGCAACAAGUAUUUGGCCGGGGAUUUCGUGAGCUUUGCCGACCUCACUCAUUUCUUCUUCAUGCGCUACUUCAUGGCGACGGAGCACGCGGUCGUUCUUGACGCAUACCCGCAUGCCAAAGCAUGGUGGGACGCAUUGUUGGCAAGGCCGUCGGUCAAGAAGGUGAUAGCUGGCAUGCCUCCGAAUUUUCGAUUCGGGAGGAAACUCAUUGUAAGUGGGUACUUACGAGAAAACUCAUGA
RNAcentral lists this ribosomal RNA (702 nucleotides) under Triticum aestivum (bread wheat). RNAcentral describes it as "partial small subunit ribosomal RNA". The record is from RNAcentral. Lineage: Eukaryota; Viridiplantae; Streptophyta; Magnoliopsida; Poales; Poaceae.